AGAAGAAGACGCCGGGCGGCAGAAUCGUCUUGCUGUGAGGCGACGGUGCUAACCACUGCAUCACAGGCUCAGUCCAGAGCUCCACCUCUGACAAAUGACACUACAAUCUGCACGCUUGCCCCGCUGCUCCACCGUAUACUCUUUGGUGGAGGAGUCACUGUCGCUGUGUCACUGCAUUUCAUCAUCGGAGGAGGAGGACUCACUCGAUUUGCUUCAGGUGAGCCGACAUUAGUCUCAGGUGCAGGAGGUCACAUCGAUACAUCGCUAUUAAAAUGAGUUGACUUCCUGACAG
Long non-coding RNA from Sebastes umbrosus (honeycomb rockfish), 292 nucleotides. RefSeq lists it as uncharacterized. The record is from RefSeq and is a predicted model, not a curated record. NCBI's taxonomy places the organism in Eukaryota, Metazoa, Chordata, Actinopteri, Perciformes, Sebastidae. The transcript has 3 exons.